This 366-nucleotide unclassified non-coding RNA is filed under the name soil metagenome. Its description in RNAcentral is "partial contains 5.8S ribosomal RNA, internal transcribed spacer 2, and large subunit ribosomal RNA". The stretch from base 1 to 120 matches the Rfam family "5.8S ribosomal RNA", at positions 35 to 154 of the family's 154-position model. The record is from RNAcentral.
GAUGAAGAACGUAGCGAAAUGCGAUAAGUAAUGCGAAUUGCAGAAUUCCGUGAGUCAUCGAAUCUUUGAACGCACAUUGCGCCCCCUGGUAUUCCUGGGGGCAUGCCUGUUCGAGCGUCAUUAACAACCAAUCGGGCGGGGCUUUUGCAUGCUCCCGCUCGGCCAUGGGGGAUGGACGUCGUCGGACGCCCACCCCCGAAAUGCAACGGCGGACGGCCACCCGUGGCACUGCGGCGUAGUAAGUUAACCCUUCGCGCGCGCCCACGGAGUGGACUGCCCGGCCGCUUGAACCCCCACACAUCCUACGGUUGACCUCGGAUCAGGUAGGGAUACCCGCUGAACUUAAGCAUAUCAAUAAGCGGAGGA